RNAcentral lists this long non-coding RNA (536 nucleotides) under Ananas comosus (pineapple). RNAcentral's name for it is "long non-coding RNA (ACOM_LNC000491)". Lineage: Eukaryota; Viridiplantae; Streptophyta; Magnoliopsida; Poales; Bromeliaceae. The record is from RNAcentral.
AAUUUUUUAUAAGGGCAAUUAUUUAUAUACCCCUGAAAAGUUUCCGACUUUUCAAUUUACCCCUCUUAAAAAGCUAAUAUUGAAAAUAUCCCUCCUACGUUUCAACUUAUUUCUAAUAUACCCUUCGAGUUAAAAUUUAUUAACUCUGUUAUCUAUGUAAAAUUACUAUUUUACCCUUUCAAAUAUAUUCUUCCACCAUCACUGUCUUUCUGAUUGGCCCUUAAAGUCAAGGGCAUAAAAAGUGUUUUGACUUUUGGUCUUUUCCGAUAUAUCCCUCUACCGUAACCAACCUUUCUUAUUUGCACUUAAGUUAAGGGCAAAAUUGGCAUUUUAAUUUUUUUUUACUGUAGUAGAUAUUUAACUCAUGUUUAACCCAAGUUAACUUAAAAGGAGAUAACUGCAGGAGUAUUUUGUAAUAACGGUGGAACAUAUGAGGGGUAUUUUAGAAAGAAAAAAAGUAGGGAUAAAUCGGAUAUUUCCAAACGUAUGAGGGGUAUAUAGGCAAUUAUCCCUUUUUUUAUACUACUCAUUUGUUU